This is a long non-coding RNA of Oncorhynchus keta (chum salmon), 1730 nucleotides long. RefSeq lists it as uncharacterized. The record is from RefSeq and is a predicted model, not a curated record. NCBI's taxonomy places the organism in Eukaryota, Metazoa, Chordata, Actinopteri, Salmoniformes, Salmonidae. The transcript is spliced from 3 exons.
UCAUGUCACCAGAAUGAGACCCUCGAUAUAUUUGGGAAAGGAGCAUCAAGAUCAUCGUGCACUUUCACCAUCCUGUGAAGUUCAUAACUUCAUCUGUAGCCUAAUAAACUGCACGGUGUCUGUCCUGAGUCGUAUUGGGAGGACCACACACCGUAUCAUCGCGUUGACUCCAAGUUUACUUCGAUCUGAUGGUUAUUAUAUAAUAUUUGCGCAUAAGGGCGUUUCCACCACAAUUUCUGUGAAUUCAUUUCACCGACGCAAAAAGAUCCCAUGUCAAACAAAUUAUCUGUCGGCAUUUAUCAAAAUUAUACCGAAAUUACCUGUUUCUAUCACAGCUGUCGUGAUUUUUUUCAAAAUAAGAUGACUUUACUUUCAUAACUGGAUGGAAACGCGAUCAAAAUUCACCCAGGCUCAAACGUUACGGUCCCAAAGAACGUCUAGAGGGCAGUCAUGCAACUAGGCCAACAGUUACAUUGACAUGGCAAGAGCUGCUGUUGGGUGCUUUUGAUGUUGACAUGUUGCUGAAGAGCAACCUGAGAGAUUCUGUCAUGAAGUCCUUACCUGGUUCAACAAAUGGACACGUGGGAAUGGCUUACAACAAUAACAUGGCUGAAUUAAGAAGUGAUGGGAGCAAAAAAUGGAAUUAAUUGGAUUAAAUGUGUUUAGUGUUUUGAGUCGUUUCAUUCGAACGUUUUAUUACCAUGACUACUAAGUAUCACUAAAUUAAUGUUCCUGUUACAUAAACUAUAUUUACAAAAGAAUGUGGAAACCCUUUCAAAUUAAUGUAUUCGCCUAUUUCAGCCACACCCGUUGCUGACAGGUAAAUAAAAUCGAGCUGCUAUGCAAUCUACAUAGACAAAUAUUGGCAGUAGAAUGGCCCGUACUGAAGAGCUCAGUGACUUUCAAUGUGGCACUGUCAUAGGAUGCCAGAUUUCCAACAGCUCAGUUCGUCACAUUUCUGACCCAGUCAACUGUAAGUGUUGCUAUUGUGAAGUGGAAACAUCUAGGAUCUACAACGUCUCAGCCGCGAAGUGGUAGAACACAAGCUUACAGAACGGGACUGCCGAGGGCUGAAAUGCGUAACGCGUAAGAAAUCAUCUGUCCUCGGUUGCAACAUUCACUAACGAGUUUCAAACUACCUCUGGAAGCAACAUCAGCACAAUAACUCAUCGGGAGAUUCAUGAAAUGGGUUUCCAUGGCCAAGCAGCCACACAUAAGCCUAAGAUCACCAUGCGCAAUACCAAGCAUCGGCUGGAACAAAUCUGGGUUUGGCAGAUGCUAGGAGAACGCUACCUGCCCGAAUGCAUAGUGCGAUCUGUAAAGUUUGGUGGAGGAGGAAUAAUGGUCUGGGGCUGUUUUUCAUGGUUUGGGCUAGGACCCUUACUUCCAGUGAAGGGAAAUCUUAACGUGACAGCAUACAAUUACAUUUUAGAUGAUUAUGUGCUUCCAAUGUUGAGGAAACAGUUUGGGGAAGGCCCUUUCCUGUUUAAACAUGACAAUGCCCCGUGCACAAAGCGAGGUCCAUAAAGAAAUGUUUUGUCGAGAUCGUGUGGAAGCACUUGACUGGCCUUCACAGAGCCCUGACCUCAACCCCAUCGAACACCUUUGGGAUGAAUAGGAACGUCGACUGUGAGCCAGGCCUAAUCGCCCAACAUCCGACCUCACUAAUGCUCUUGUGGCUGAAUGGAAGCAAUUCCCUGCAGCAAUGUUCCAACAUUUAGUGGAAAGAC